RNAcentral lists this transfer RNA (91 nucleotides) under Nitrospiraceae bacterium. Its description in RNAcentral is "tRNA-Ser". It matches the Rfam family "tRNA". Rfam says of the family: Transfer RNA (tRNA) molecules are approximately 80 nucleotides in length. Their secondary structure includes four short double-helical elements and three loops (D, anti-codon, and T loops). Lineage: Bacteria; Pseudomonadati; Nitrospirota; Nitrospiria; Nitrospirales; Nitrospiraceae. The record is from RNAcentral.
GGAGAGGUGCCAGAGUGGUUGAAUGGGACGGUCUCGAAAACCGUUGUGGGAUUAUAUCUCACCCAGGGUUCGAAUCCCUGCCUCUCCGCCA